AGAGUUUGAUCCUGGCUCAGGAUGAACGCUGGCGGCGUGCUUAACACAUGCAAGUCGAACGAAGCACUUUAUUUGAUUUCCUUCGGGACUGAUUAUUUUGUGACUGAGUGGCGGACGGGUGAGUAACGCGUGGGUAACCUGCCUUGUACAGGGGGAUAACAGUUGGAAACGGCUGCUAAUACCGCAUAAGCGCACAGCAUCGCAUGAUGCAGUGUGAAAAACUCCGGUGGUAUAAGAUGGACCCGCGUUGGAUUAGCUAGUUGGUGAGGUAACGGCCCACCAAGGCGACGAUCCAUAGCCGACCUGAGAGGGUGACCGGCCACAUUGGGACUGAGACACGGCCCAAACUCCUACGGGAGGCAGCAGUGGGGAAUAUUGCACAAUGGGCGAAAGCCUGACGCAGCGACGCCGCGUGAGCGAAGAAGUAUUUCGGUAUGUAAAGCUCUAUCAGCAGGGAAGAUAAUGACGGUACCUGACUAAGAAGCACCGGCUAAAUACGUGCCAGCAGCCGCGGUAAUACGUAUGGUGCAAGCGUUAUCCGGAUUUACUGGGUGUAAAGGGAGCGCAGGCGGUGCGGCAAGUCUGAUGUGAAAGCCCGGGGCUCAACCCCGGUACUGCAUUGGAAACUGUCGUACUAGAGUGUCGGAGGGGUAAGCGGAAUUCCUAGUGUAGCGGUGAAAUGCGUAGAUAUUAGGAGGAACACCAGUGGCGAAGGCGACUAACUGGACUGUAACUGACGCUGAGGCGCGAAAGUGUGGGGAGCAAACAGGAUUAGAUACCCUGGUAGUCCACACUGUAAACGAUGAAUGCUAGGUGUAGGGGGUAUCGACCCCUUCUGUGCCGCAGUCAACACAAUAAGCAUUCCGCCUGGGGAGUACGGCCGCAAGGUUGAAACUCAAAGGAAUUGACGGGGGCCCGCACAAGCAGCGGAGCAUGUGGUUUAAUUCGACGCAACGCGAAGAACCUUACCAGGUCUUGACAUCCACUUAAACUUACAGAGAUGUAAGGUGUGCUUGCACAAAGUGAGACAGGUGGUGCAUGGUUGUCGUCAGCUCGUGUCGUGAGAUGUUGGGUUAAGUCCCGCAACGAGCGCAACCCUUAUCUUCAGUUACUAACGCGUAGAGGUGAGGACUCUGAAGAGACUGCCGGGGACAACUCGGAGGAAGGUGGGGACGACGUCAAAUCAUCAUGCCCCUUAUGACCUGGGCUACACACGUGCUACAAUGGCCACGACAGAGAGAAGCGAAAUCGCAAGGUAGAGCGGAACUCAAAAAAGUGGUCCCAGUUCGGAUUGUGGGCUGCAACCCGCCCACAUGAAGUCGGAGUUGCUAGUAAUCGCGGAUCAGCAUGCCGCGGUGAAUACGUUCCCGGGCCUUGUACACACCGCCCGUCACACCAUGGGAGUUGGGAGUGCCCAAAGCCGGUGAGGCAACCGCAAGGAGCCAGCCGUCUAAGGCAAGACCAAUGACUGGGGUGAAGUCGUAACAAGGUA
Molecule: ribosomal RNA, 1492 nt
Filed under: metagenome
Description: bacterial SSU rRNA
Rfam family: Bacterial small subunit ribosomal RNA
Source: RNAcentral